This 200-nucleotide ribosomal RNA is filed under the name uncultured bacterium. RNAcentral's name for it is "partial 16S ribosomal RNA". It matches the Rfam family "Bacterial small subunit ribosomal RNA", at positions 30 to 226 of the family's 1533-position model. The record is from RNAcentral.
AUUGAACGCUGGCGGCAGGCCUCACACAUGCAAGUCGAGCGGUAGCACAGAGAGCUUGCUCUCGGGUGACGAGCGGCGGACGGGUGAGUAAUGUCUGGGAAACUGCCUGAUGGAGGGGGAUAACUACUGGAAACGGUAGCUAAUACCGCAUAACGUCGCAAGACCAAAGAGGGGGACCUUCGGGCCUCUUGCCAUCAGAU